This 333-nucleotide ribosomal RNA is filed under the name Staphylococcus aureus. RNAcentral's name for it is "bacterial SSU rRNA". It matches the Rfam family "Bacterial small subunit ribosomal RNA", at positions 1072 to 1406 of the family's 1533-position model. The record is from RNAcentral. Lineage: Bacteria; Bacillati; Bacillota; Bacilli; Caryophanales; Staphylococcaceae.
AUGUUGGGUUAAGUCCCGCAACGAGCGCAACCCUUAAGCUUAGUUGCCAUCAUUAAGUUGGGCACUCUAAGUUGACUGCCGGUGACAAACCGGAGGAAGGUGGGGAUGACGUCAAAUCAUCAUGCCCCUUAUGAUUUGGGCUACACACGUGCUACAAUGGACAAUACAAAGGGCAGCGAAACCGCGAGGUCAAGCAAAUCCCAUAAAGUUGUUCUCAGUUCGGAUUGUAGUCUGCAACUCGACUACAUGAAGCUGGAAUCGCUAGUAAUCGUAGAUCAGCAUGCUACGGUGAAUACGUUCCCGGGUCUUGUACACACCGCCCGUCACACCACG